RNAcentral lists this ribosomal RNA (301 nucleotides) under uncultured bacterium. Its description in RNAcentral is "partial 16S ribosomal RNA". It matches the Rfam family "Bacterial small subunit ribosomal RNA", at positions 509 to 809 of the family's 1533-position model. The record is from RNAcentral.
CAGCAGCCACGGGAACACGGAGGGUGCAAGCGUUAAUCGGAAUUACUGGGCGUAAAGCGCACGCAGGCGGUCUGUCAAGUCGGAUGUGAAAUCCCCGGGCUCAACCUGGGAACUGCAUUCGAAACUGGCAGGCUAGAGUCUUGUAGAGGGGGGUAGAAUUCCAGGUGUAGCGGUGAAAUGCGUAGAGAUCUGGAGGAAUACCGGUGGCGAAGGCGGCCCCCUGGACAAAGACUGACGCUCAGGUGCGAAAGCGUGGGGAGCAAACAGGAUUAGAUACCCCCGUAGUCCAUGUCUCUUAUAA